GUAGGUGAACCUGCGGAAGGAUCAUUAUUGAAUGAACAUGGAGUCGGUUGUCGCUGGCCCCUUUACCGGGGCAUGUGCACGCCUUCUCUAUUCAUCCACACACACCUGUGAACUUGUGAGACGGAUAGUAGUCCCCUAGGGGGCGAGGUCCGUCUGCUAAUACAUAAACUCUAAUAAUAUAAAUUCGAAUGUCAUUUGAUGUAACGCAUCUAUAAACUAAGUUUCAACAACGGAUCUCUUGGCUCUCGCA
Molecule: unclassified non-coding RNA, 250 nt
Filed under: plant metagenome
Description: partial contains small subunit ribosomal RNA, internal transcribed spacer 1, and 5.8S ribosomal RNA
Source: RNAcentral